AGCAAGAGAUAAUUCUAGUUAAAACCACAACUAUUAUUGAAAACAAGUAUUCAAAAAGAAAAUGGUUCUUCUAGUCCUACAAUUUUGCCUAUUGAGAAACAGACUGAAGUAUCGUCAGGACAAGUUGAACUUCUUGCAGGUAUAUAUACACAAACAAUUCCGUCACCAUGGAGAUGACAGUUGAUUCAGAGGCAGCUGCCAGUUUACAGCAUCAUUCAAAUUCUAACGGUACAGAAGAAAGCACUAAACCGCCAAUGAGAAAUUUCAGUUGAAAAUGAACUGUGAUCUUAUUAAGAGCUUAAAAUGAAAUGGAGCUCUGAGAAUUUUCCCAUAAGUUGGUAGGACCAUUCCAGUGCCUCCUGGGCAGGGAGGAAACUGAUGCUCAAAGUCAUACAGCCAAGAGGUGGCAAUGACAAGACUCAGGACCCUUUGCCUCCAAAGCUCACAAACACUUCACAGCAAACUGUUAAUAGAGCAAGGGCAUCGGCUGCCUUGCUCACCACUGAGUUGCCAGGACCUGGAAGAAUGUCCAGUACAUUGAAGGUGCUCGACCACGUUCGCUGAAUGAAUAAUUACCACCACAUGAUACUCACAUAUAUAGUUAGCAAUUCCUACAAUGAUUAAAAUUUAAAUAUCUAAUCCAACCAAGGUUUUGGCUUUUCAUCUUUAAUUUCCUAGCAUAUAUAUAUAUGCCUAAAUAAAGUUUUUCCUCAUGCAUGUUUGUCUCACUGAAAUGCAUGCUACAAAGCCACUCACAUGCUACCUAAUAGGAUUAGGUACCACCCUAUACCUAAUCCCAACAGACUCAGUUCACAGAAUUUCUCUUCAAAUUCAUAUUGGCCCAAAGAGUUGGGGGAGUUAUCCCAGAAUAGAUAACUGGGCUCAGGCAUGGGUGGGGAAAUGACUCUCAACAGAAUUAGUCCUCACGCUAAGGAUACAAAGGAAGAAGCCCAAGUCUGGGAGGCAUACUCAAAUACAAAACCAUUAUUAUGAAAUCAACGCCUGCUGUGAUGGAAAGGUGGAUAAAAGCCACUUAAAUUUUUAGUCUCAGGGUGCACACCCC
This is a non-coding RNA of Microcebus murinus (gray mouse lemur), 1063 nucleotides long. The record is from RefSeq and is a predicted model, not a curated record. Lineage: Eukaryota; Metazoa; Chordata; Mammalia; Primates; Cheirogaleidae.